GCGUAGCAAUAAGCGGAGGAAAAGAAACCAACAGGGAUUGCCCUAGUAACGGCGAGUGAAGCGGCAACAGCUCAAAUUUGAAAUCUGGCCCCAGGCCCGAGUUGUAAUUUGCAGAGGAUGCUUUUGGCGACGCGCCUUCCGAGUUCCCUGGAACGGGACGCCAUAGAGGGUGAGAGCCCCGUACGGUCGUGCGCCUAGCCUCUGUAAAGCUCCUUCGACGAGUCGAGUAGUUUGGGAAUGCUGCUCUAAAUGGGAGGUAUACGUCUUCUAAAGCUAAAUACCGGCCAGAGACCGAUAGCGCACAAGUAGAGUGAUCGAAAGAUGAAAAGCACUUUGAAAAGAGGGUUAAAUAGUACGUGAAAUUGCUGAAAGGGAAGCGCUCAUGACCAGACUUGGGCCGGUGAAUCAUCCAGCGUUCUCGCUGGUGCACUUUGCCGGUCCAGGCCAGCAUCAGUUCGCGCCGGGGGAUAAAGGCUUCGGGAAUGUGGCUCCUCCGGGAGUGUUAUAGCCCGUUGCGUAAUACCCUGGGGUGGACUGAGGUACGCGCUCCGCAAGGAUGCUGGCGUAAUGGUCAUCAGCGACCCGUCUUGAAACACGGACCAAGGAGUCGUCUUCGUAUGCGAGUGUUCGGGUGUCAAACCCUUACGCGUAAUGAAAGUGAACGUAGGAGAGAGCUUCGGCGCAUCUCCGACCGAUCCUGAUGUUCUCGGAUGGAUUUGAGUAAGAGCAUACGGGGCCGGACCCGAAAGAAGGUGAACUAUGCCUGUAUAGGGUGAAGCCAGAGGAAACUCUGGUGGAGGCUCGCAGCGGUUCUGACGUGCAAAUCGAUCGUCAAAUAUGGGCAUGGGGGCGAAAGACUAAUCGAACCUUCUAGUAGCUGGUUUCCGCCGAAG
RNAcentral lists this ribosomal RNA (893 nucleotides) under Amphichorda felina. RNAcentral's name for it is "LSU rRNA". It matches the Rfam family "Eukaryotic large subunit ribosomal RNA", at positions 38 to 966 of the family's 3401-position model. The record is from RNAcentral. Lineage: Eukaryota; Fungi; Ascomycota; Sordariomycetes; Hypocreales; Bionectriaceae.